GACGAACGCUGGCGGCGUGCCUAAUACAUGCAAGUUGAGCGCUGAAGGUUGGUACUUGUACCAACUGGAUGAGCAGCGAACGGGUGAGUAACGCGUGGGGAAUCUGCCUUUGAGCGGGGGACAACAUUUGGAAACGAAUGCUAAUACCGCAUAAAAACUUUAAACACAAGUUUUAAGUUUGAAAGAUGCAAUUGCAACACUCAAAGAUGAUCCCGCGUUGUAUUAGCUAGUUGGUGAGGUAAAGGCUCACCAAGGCGAUGAUACAUAGCCGACCUGAGAGGGUGAUCGGCCACAUUGGGACUGAGACACGGCCCAAACUCCUACGGGAGGCAGCAGUAGGGAAUCUUCGGCAAUAGACGAAAGUCUGACCGAGCAACGCCGCGUGAGUGAAGAAGGUUUUCGGAUCGUAAAACUCUGUUGGUAGAGAAGAACGUUGGUGAGAGUGGAAAGCUCAUCAAGUGACGGUAACUACCCAGAAAGGGACGGCUAACUACGUG
Molecule: ribosomal RNA, 497 nt
Filed under: uncultured bacterium
Lineage: Bacteria
Description: partial 16S ribosomal RNA
Rfam family: Bacterial small subunit ribosomal RNA
Source: RNAcentral